Molecule: ribosomal RNA, 920 nt
Filed under: uncultured bacterium
Lineage: Bacteria
Description: bacterial SSU rRNA
Rfam family: Bacterial small subunit ribosomal RNA
Source: RNAcentral
GAGUUUGAUCCUGGCUCAGGAUGAACGCUAGCGACAGGCUUAACACAUGCAAGUCGAGGGGCAGCGGUGGUGAAGGCUUGCCUUCACCAGCCGGCGACCGGCGCACGGGUGAGUAACACGUAUGCAACCUGCCUGCCACAGCCGGAUAAUCGGGAGAAAUCCCGUCUAAUACGGCAUAAUGCAUCGACGGGACAUCCUGUUGGUGCCAAAGGUUAAUUCCGGUGGCGGAUGGGCAUGCGUCGCAUUAGUUAGUUGGCGGUGUAACGGACCACCAAGACGACGAUGCGUAGGGGUUCUGAGAGGAAGGUCCCCCACACUGGUACUGAGACACGGACCAGACUCCUACGGGAGGCAGCAGUGAGGAAUAUUGGUCAAUGGGCGGGAGCCUGAACCAGCCAAGUCGCGUGAGGGAUGACGGCCCUAUGGGUUGUAAACCUCUUUUGCCGGGGAGCAAAGUGCCGCACGUGUGCGGUUUGGAGAGUACCCGGAGAAAAAGCAUCGGCUAACUCCGUGCCAGCAGCCGCGGUAAUACGGAGGAUGCGAGCGUUAUCCGGAUUUAUUGGGUUUAAAGGGUGCGUAGGCGAACGCUUAAGUCAGCGGUAAAAUUGCGGGGCUCAACCUCGUCGAGCCGUUGAAACUGGUGGCCUCGAGUGGGCGAGAAGUAUGCGGAAUGCGUGGUGUAGCGGUGAAAUGCAUAGAUAUCACGCAGAACUCCGAUUGCGAAGGCAGCAUACCGGCGCCCGACUGACGCUGAGGCACGAAAGCGUGGGUAUCGAACAGGAUUAGAUACCCUGGUAGUCCACGCAGUAAACGAUGAAUGCUAGCUGUCCGGGGCUUCGGUCCUGGGUGGCACAGCGAAAGCGUUAAGCAUUCCACCUGGGGAGUACGCCGGCAACGGUGAAACUCAAAGGAAUUGACGG